GACGAACGCUGGCGGCGUGCCUAAUACAUGCAAGUCGAGCGGGCCUCCGGAGGUGCUUGCACCUCCGGAAGGCCAGCGGCGGACGGGUGAGUAACACGUGGGCAACCUGCCUUUGAGGCCGGGAUAACACCGGGAAACCGGUGCUAAUACCGGAGACGUCGUCUUUCGCGCCCUCGAUGUGGGUGAAAGACGGUCCUUCAGGCCGUCGACCAAAGAGGGGCCGGCGGCGCAUUAGCUGGUUGGGGGGGUAAGGGCCUACCAAGGCGACGAUGCGUUGCCGACCUGAGAGGAUGAUCGGCCACCCUGGGACUGAGACACGGCCCAGACUCCUGCGGGAGGCAGCAGUAGGGAAUCAUCCGCAAUGGGCGAAAGCCUGACGGUGCAACGCCGCGUGAGUGAGGAAGGUUUUCGGAUCGUAAAGCUCUGUUGUGAGGGAAGAACAGCUUCCGGAGGAAAUGCCGGAGGUUUGCCGGUACCUCACCAGAAAGCCCCGGCUAACUACGUGCCAGCCGCCGCGGUAA
Molecule: ribosomal RNA, 521 nt
Filed under: uncultured bacterium
Lineage: Bacteria
Description: partial 16S ribosomal RNA
Rfam family: Bacterial small subunit ribosomal RNA
Source: RNAcentral